GGCAGGAUGGCCGAGUGGUUAUGGCGGAGGGUUCAAGUUAUCAACUUGUCUCGUGUACAAAACACAGAGAUUUCCUCUGGAGCAAUCCGCAGGGGUUCGAAUCCCCUUCCUGUCA
Molecule: non-coding RNA, 115 nt
Organism: Hypoxylon sp. NC0597
Lineage: Eukaryota; Fungi; Ascomycota; Sordariomycetes; Xylariales; Hypoxylaceae
Source: the annotation of a GenBank genome assembly